CAAAAUAGCAGCCAGGAGCUUUACAGACAACAGUGCUGAUAUUUUGGUUGUCUAAUUCCUCCUCUCUGUCACGGGCUGUGGACACUUUAUCAAGUCAUGCUUGCCUCUCCUCUGCUCCUUGCAGAAACUGUUCCAGGGAACCUUGUCAAUGUCUGCAUACUUUUUCUCUGUGGCAUUGUUUCACAAGGCAAGCUGGUUAAAAGUAAAUCAAUUUACAUUUCGUUGGGUUUGUUUGGAAUGGUGAGGUCUUAACUGAAAAUUUUAGGCAUUUUGUGGGAGAUUAUUUAGGUCACACUUCCAAUCUAUGAGAUCAUGACACACAGGCAGCCUAUUUUAAGAGGUAAUCUGAAAUGUUCCAUUUAAUUGGGCUAGUUGGAUGUGGCACCAUUUGACUGCAAGUGAGGGCAGAAAUUUGGAGGCUGGUAAAGUUUAGAAUCACAGACUGCUCAGCUGAAGUGAGGGCUUUGCAUACAUUUGAUCAUUAGAAGGAAACUGAGGCAGAAGGAUUAAUCACUCAAGGUCACACAUAAAGAAGCAAGUGGCUUCUACAGGAUGCUUUCAUCGCCAAGGUCAGAGGCAACAAGAAUGGACACAGGAUGCAGACAACCCUCGGGGGAUUCUAGCUCAUGCUCAUGAGAGUCCGGUCUGCUCAUGAUCUUCCUGUCCUGACUGCUGUCCUGCGGACUUCAGGCUCCAGGAUUAGAAGUGGAGACAGCCUUGCAGGGUCUGUGGAAGGAGGUCCCUCCCCUACCAAAUAUG
RNAcentral lists this long non-coding RNA (759 nucleotides) under Equus caballus (horse). RNAcentral's name for it is "lncRNA (ENSECAG00000051059.1)". The record is from RNAcentral. Lineage: Eukaryota; Metazoa; Chordata; Mammalia; Perissodactyla; Equidae.